Molecule: ribosomal RNA, 475 nt
Filed under: uncultured organism
Description: partial 16S ribosomal RNA
Rfam family: Bacterial small subunit ribosomal RNA
Source: RNAcentral
GUACACUCCUGCGGGAGGCAGCAGUGGGGAAUUUUGGACAAUGGGCGAAAGCCUGAUCCAGCAAUGCCGCGUGAGUGAAGAAGGCCUUCGGGUUGUAAAGCUCUUUUGUCAGGGAAGAAACGGUGAGAGCUAAUAUCUCUUGCUAAUGACGGUACCUGAAGAAUAAGCACCGGCUAACUACGUGCCAGCAGCCGCGGUAAUACGGAGGGUGCAAGCGUUAAUCGGAAUUACUGGGCGUAAAGCGUGCGCAGGCGGUUUUGUAAGUCUGAUGUGAAAUCCCCGGGCUCAACCUGGGAAUUGCAUUGGAGACUGCAAGGCUAGAAUCUGGCAGAGGGGGGUAGAAUUCCACGUGUAGCAGUGAAAUGCGUAGAUAUGUGGAGGAACACCGAUGGCGAAGGCAGCCCCCUGGGUCAAGAUUGACGCUCAUGCACGAAAGCGUGUGGAGCAAACAGGAUUAGAAACCCUAGUAGUCCCA